RNAcentral lists this ribosomal RNA (256 nucleotides) under Protopterus annectens (West African lungfish). RNAcentral's name for it is "partial rRNA small subunit". It matches the Rfam family "Bacterial small subunit ribosomal RNA", at positions 871 to 1250 of the family's 1533-position model. The record is from RNAcentral. Lineage: Eukaryota; Metazoa; Chordata; Ceratodontiformes; Protopteridae.
CCCCAGGAACUACAAGCCCAGGCUUAAAACCCAAAGGACUUGGCGGUGCCUCACACCCACCUAGAGGAGCCUGUUCUAGAACCGAUAAUCCACGUUUUACCCAACCUUCCCUGGCAUUUCAGCCUAUAUACCGCCGUCGCCAGCCAACCCCCUGAGGCCCACUAGUUGGCAAAAUAGAUAACAUCUAACACGUCAGGUCGAGGUGUAGCACAUGAGAAGGAAGAAAUGGGCUACAUUUUCUGAUAGAAAACACGGA